RNAcentral lists this ribosomal RNA (433 nucleotides) under uncultured bacterium. RNAcentral's name for it is "partial 16S ribosomal RNA". It matches the Rfam family "Bacterial small subunit ribosomal RNA", at positions 29 to 507 of the family's 1533-position model. The record is from RNAcentral.
AACGAACGCUGGCGGCAUGCCUAACACAUGCAAGUCGAACGAGACCUUCGGGUCUAGUUGCGCACGGGUGCGUAACGCGUGGGAACCUGCCCUUAUGUUCGGAAUAACUCCCCGAAAGGGGUGCUAAUACCGGAUAAUGUCUUCGGACCAAAGAUUUAUCGCCUUUGGAUGGGCCCGCGUUGGUUUAGCUAGUUGGUAGGGUAAAAGCCUACCAAGGCGACGCUACAUAGCUGGUCUGAGAGGAUGAUCAGCCACACUGGGACUGAGACACGGCCCAGACUCCUACGGGAGGCAGCAGUGGGGAAUAUUGGACAAUGGGCGAAAGCCUGAUCCAGCAAGGCCGCGUGAGUGAUGAAGGCCUUAGGGUUGUAAAGCUCUUUUACCCGGGAUGAUAAUGACAGUACCGGGAGAAUAAGCUCCGGCUAACUCCGUG